This is a long non-coding RNA of Alnus glutinosa, 1104 nucleotides long. RefSeq lists it as uncharacterized. The transcript has 3 exons. NCBI's taxonomy places the organism in Eukaryota, Viridiplantae, Streptophyta, Magnoliopsida, Fagales, Betulaceae. The record is from RefSeq and is a predicted model, not a curated record.
UGUAUGGGCAAUGGUCAUUUCUCACCUCCUCUCUCUCUCUCUCUCUCUCUCUCUCUCUCUCUCUCUCUCUCUCUCUGUGAGACACAACACAGAGAGACACAAACGCAUAAGGGAUGUCAAAGAGAAAUAAAAAUGAGAUCUGAGAGGAUAAUGUGGGUGAAAUUUGUGGAAGUCUUGGUCAUGCUUUUCCACAGCUUUCUUGAACUUCUGUUGCUUCGUCUUAAUUAAUCUCGACGAUUAACACCAUGGAAGCUCAAGAAAGCUGUGGGACAACAUGGCAAUUCAGGAUUUUGUUGGGGUUUCUUUCACAUGAUGCUGUUCAGACAAGAUCUCUCUCCAUAUAUGCCACAGUCCAAGGCGGUCCUUUUAUCUGCAACGAUCUGGCAAUGUGAGAGGGUUGCGUCAGUAUAUCAAGAAGAGAAGUUCAGUAUAUCAAGAAGAGAAGUACUCCAUGGAGAGUAGAUUCUUUUUUAUAUUCUUUUUGUUUUUUGGUUAAAUCUACUGCAACACGUUUGAGCCAUGCAUGAAGGGGCAGCGGAUUUAUAUAUUUCUCAAGUUUUCUGCAGAAUUAGGUUAGAAUAACUGUGGAUUCCAACUUAUCUUCUUGCCCAAGCCAGUCGAAAAGGUAAUAAAUUAAUAUUUUCUAAAGAAAUUAUUAAUUUUUUUUUUCUGCAUUCUGACAUAUAUAUAUAAUUCUCAUUUGCUUGUGUAAUUAAUUAGUUGUUGUUUUUUUUUUUUUUGGCUUUGUAAAAUCAUUGGAAUUUUGUUGCAUAUUUGCUAUUUGAGAACAUUUUGUUUUCUAUUAAUUGGCCCUUGGAUUUCGAAAAAUAACUUUUUACUGCCAUUUCUGCUACUACGAUCUUGAACAAGUCAUGAUCAGCUGAGGACAGAAAAGGCUCGCUACAUGCAAGAACCACAUGGGGAAUUUUCAAAAGAGCCAAAGAGCUUUAAAGUUAGCUGCCUCUCACAAGCUUUCUUGUCCUCAACUACCUUUUCUUUUUUGUUUCUUUUUGGGAUUUCUCGAAUUCCUCCAAUGGUUUUUUGGCAAGUACACCAAACUCAAUUGUGGGCAAUAAUAAUAUAUCGUCACCAUCUUUGGCACCA